AUUAAACGCUGGCGGCAUGCCUUACACAUGCAAGUCGAACGGCAGCACGGGGGCAACCCUGGUGGCGAGUGGCGAACGGGUGAGUAAAGCAUCGGAACGUGCCCUGGAGUGGGGGAUAACGUAGCGAAAGUUACGCUAAUACCGCAUAUUCUGUGAGCAGGAAAGCAGGGGAUCGCAAGACCUUGCGCUUUGGGAGCGGCCGAUGUCGGAAUAGCUAGUUGGUGGGGUAAAGGCCUACCAAGGCGACGAUCCGUAGCGGGUCUGAGAGGAUGAUCCGCCACACUGGGACUGAGACACGGCCCAGACUCCUACGGGAGGCAGCAGUGGGGAAUUUUGGACAAUGGGCGCAAGCCUGAUCCAGCCAUGCCGCGUGAGUGAAGAAGGCCUCGGUGUAAGCUCUUCGUGGAGAAU
This 411-nucleotide ribosomal RNA is filed under the name uncultured bacterium. RNAcentral's name for it is "bacterial SSU rRNA". It matches the Rfam family "Bacterial small subunit ribosomal RNA", at positions 29 to 445 of the family's 1533-position model. The record is from RNAcentral.